Molecule: non-coding RNA, 353 nt
Organism: Phasianus colchicus (ring-necked pheasant)
Lineage: Eukaryota; Metazoa; Chordata; Aves; Galliformes; Phasianidae
Source: RefSeq, a predicted model, not a curated record
CGAGAGUCGAAGGACCCCGGGGCCGCCCGCGGCGCUGCCUGAGCGCAGCCGUGUUGUCAUGGCAACGGGCCUACCUCCUUCAUCCCGACAGGGUGACGCAGGUUACCGAACCAUGCUGACUUUUGGGUUCGUUUCUGCCCGCUGUUUCCCCAGUGCCCACGCACCAGCUGGUGCAGGAGGAAGUCAGGCAGAGCUGUGGGGCACACAUUCCUGCAGGAAGCUGCUGCUUUUGCCACCACCACCGUGGUGAUGGAGGGAGAGAGCCUGACAAAGUGUUUUUUCCACCCCUUACGUCACGCCAGGAUCCGUCCACGUGUGUCAGUAUGAGCAGGACUAAAGUUUAUGGUUCGGGA